This 760-nucleotide ribosomal RNA is filed under the name uncultured Prevotella sp. RNAcentral's name for it is "bacterial SSU rRNA". It matches the Rfam family "Bacterial small subunit ribosomal RNA", at positions 28 to 776 of the family's 1533-position model. The record is from RNAcentral. Lineage: Bacteria; Pseudomonadati; Bacteroidota; Bacteroidia; Bacteroidales; Prevotellaceae.
GAUGAACGCUGGCUACAGGCUUAACACAUGCAAGUCGAGGGGAAACGACGGGGAAGCUUGCUUCCCCGGGCGUCGACCGGCGCACGGGUGAGUAACGCGUAUCCAACCUGCCUCUGACUGAGGGAUAACCCGUCGAAAGUCGGCCUAAUACCUCAUGGCAUCGUCUGCGGGCAUCCAACGACGAUUAAAGAUUUCAUCGGUCAGGGAUGGGGAUGCGUCUGAUUAGCUUGUUGGCGGGGUAACGGCCCACCAAGGCUACGAUCAGUAGGGGUUCUGAGAGGAAGGUCCCCCACAUUGGAACUGAGACACGGUCCAAACUCCUACGGGAGGCAGCAGUGAGGAAUAUUGGUCAAUGGGCGAGAGCCUGAACCAGCCAAGUAGCGUGCAGGAAGACGGCCCUAUGGGUUGUAAACUGCUUUUAUGCGGGGAUAAAGUGAGGGACGUGUCCUUCUUUGCAGGUACCGCAUGAAUAAGGACCGGCUAAUUCCGUGCCAGCAGCCGCGGUAAUACGGAAGGUCCGGGCGUUAUCCGGAUUUAUUGGGUUUAAAGGGAGCGUAGGCCGUGGAUUAAGCGUGUUGUGAAAUGCAGGUGCUCAACGUCUGCACUGCAGCGCGAACUGGUCCACUUGAGUGUGCGCAACGCAGGCGGAAUUCGUCGUGUAGCGGUGAAAUGCUUAGAUAUGACGAAGAACUCCGAUUGCGAAGGCAGCUUGCGGGAGCACAACUGACGCUGAAGCUCGAAAGUGCGGGUAUCGAACAGG